Molecule: long non-coding RNA, 481 nt
Organism: Pogoniulus pusillus (Red-fronted tinkerbird)
Lineage: Eukaryota; Metazoa; Chordata; Aves; Piciformes; Lybiidae
Exons: 3
Source: RefSeq, a predicted model, not a curated record
CUCCUCGCUGUUCCUGCUGCUCUUCUUGCUUUUGAGGACUGCUUUCCUAUUUACUGUUACAGAUCUGAGAUGUCUAAAUUUCUGUAUGCAGAAUCACAAAAGAAUUUUCCCUAAUUCUUCAGAGACGUUGAAAUCCUUUAACUCCAGUGAGCUUUCACUCCAUGAGAGUCUUAAGCUGAAGGUUCCAUAACGGUAGCUGUUCUUCGAGGUAUGAAGAAAUUUUCAUUUGAGAGAUUUAUAGCCUCACAGCAAUCUCAGGGUGAUACAGGAACCUUACCAAAGGUUUCUAUUUUUCUACUUAGAAAAGAAUUACAGGAAAGAGAUUGUUCUUGGAAUCUGUUAGACCCAAUUCAUAAAUGUUGAUUAUUUAUUUGUUAUGGGAAAAGAUAUAAUGUAGCACUUGGCAUUUUUCUGUGGCAUUUGUGAUGGCUAUUACUGAAAAUAAGAGGACAAAAUAAAAAUUAGAUAUGCAUCAUUCUCA